GACGAACGCUGGCGGCGUGCUUAACACAUGCAAGUCGAACGGAAAGGCCCUGCUUUUGUGGGGUGCUCGAGUGGCGAACGGGUGAGUAACACGUGAGUAACCUGCCCUUGACUUUGGGAUAACUUCAGGAAACUGGGGCUAAUACCGGAUAGGAGCUCCUGCUGCAUGGUGGGGGUUGGAAAGUUUCGGCGGUUGGGGAUGGACUCGCGGCUUAUCAGCUUGUUGGUGGGGUAGUGGCUUACCAAGGCUUUGACGGGUAGCCGGCCUGAGAGGGUGACCGGCCACAUUGGGACUGAGGUACGGCCCAGACGCCUACGGGAGGCAGCAGUGGGGAAUAUUGCACAAUGGGCGGAAGCCUGAUGCAGCAACGCCGCGUGCGGGAUGACGGCCUUCGGGUUGUAAACCGCUUUCGCCUGUGACGAAGAGUGAGUGACGGUAAUGGGUAAAGAAGCACCGGCUAACUACGUG
Molecule: ribosomal RNA, 468 nt
Filed under: uncultured bacterium
Lineage: Bacteria
Description: partial 16S ribosomal RNA
Rfam family: Bacterial small subunit ribosomal RNA
Source: RNAcentral